GACUCAGUAGCUCAGCUGGUAGAGCACAUCCCUUUUAAGGAUGUGGUCCUGGGUCCGAAUCCCAGCUGGGUCA
RNAcentral lists this transfer RNA (73 nucleotides) under Bacteroidota bacterium. Its description in RNAcentral is "tRNA-Lys". It matches the Rfam family "tRNA". From Rfam's summary of the family: Transfer RNA (tRNA) molecules are approximately 80 nucleotides in length. Their secondary structure includes four short double-helical elements and three loops (D, anti-codon, and T loops). The record is from RNAcentral. Lineage: Bacteria; Pseudomonadati; Bacteroidota.